ACUACGGGAGGCAGCAGUGAGGAAUAUUGGUCAAUGGGCGCGAGCCUGAACCAGCCAAGUAGCGUGAAGGAUGACUGCCCUACGGGUUGUAAACUUCUUUUAUAAAGGAAUAAAGUGAGGCACGUGUGCCUUUUUGUAUGUACUUUAUGAAUAAGGAUCGGCUAACUCCGUGCCAGCAGCCGCGGUAAUACGGAGGAUCCGAGCGUUAUCCGGAUUUAGUGGGUUUAAAGGGAGCGUAGAUGGGUUGUUAAGUCAGUUGUGAAGGUUUGCGGCUCAACCGUAAAAUUGCAAUUGAUACUGGCAGCCUUGAGUACAGUUGAGGUAGGCGGAAUUCGUGGUGUAGCGGUGAAAUGCUUAGAUAUCACGAAGAACCCCGAUUGCGAAGGCAGCCUGCCGGGGUGCGACUGACGCUGAGGCUCGAAGGUGCGGGUAUCAAACAGGAUUAGAUACCCGAGUAGUC
Molecule: ribosomal RNA, 460 nt
Filed under: uncultured bacterium
Lineage: Bacteria
Description: partial 16S ribosomal RNA
Rfam family: Bacterial small subunit ribosomal RNA
Source: RNAcentral